UCAAAAAUGUAAUAACAAUGCCAAUUUUUGAAGCACACUUUUACCCCUUGAUGAAAGGUUCCGAAAGCCAAAAGGUGUCUAAAAGUAGGCUUUAGUUGCAUGAAGUAUCGAAAUAUGGCAAAUCGGGCACACAGCUGUUGGCUUUUCAUUUGGCGAUUUGCAAGCGGCGUAUGCAACACUGAUACCUCGCAUUAACUUUGAUGGAGAUGGAGAUGGGCGAAUUCCGAUGGCGGGGACACAGACAGACACAAUAACAGGAUUCCUGGAGUGGUGUAGUACCUCCACCUAUGCAUCCCCAUACGAGACCAGGAACCCAGGCAGCCCCUCGGUAGACAAAGUGCCAAGUCAGACAGAUGCAGACGUAUCUCAUUUAGCAUACCGUACUUUGCAGCUCAUCUUUAUUUCUUGGCAAGUUGUGUGCAAUUCAUUAAAGCGAAAUCUGCUCGAAUGCGAAUAAUGCAAA
This 463-nucleotide small RNA is filed under the name Drosophila yakuba. RNAcentral's name for it is "GE27860". The record is from RNAcentral. Lineage: Eukaryota; Metazoa; Arthropoda; Insecta; Diptera; Drosophilidae.